RNAcentral lists this ribosomal RNA (477 nucleotides) under uncultured bacterium. RNAcentral's name for it is "bacterial SSU rRNA". It matches the Rfam family "Bacterial small subunit ribosomal RNA", at positions 365 to 832 of the family's 1533-position model. The record is from RNAcentral.
UUCGCAAUGCCCGAAAGGGUGACGAAGCGACGCCGCGUGUGGGAAGAAGGCCUUCGGGUUGUAAACCACUGUCGGGAGUUAAGAAAUGCAAGGAUAUGAAUAGUGUCUUUGCUUGACUAAGGCUCCGGAGGAAGCCACGGCUAACUCUGUGCCAGCAGCCGCGGUAAUACAGAGGUGGCAAGCGUUGUUCGGAAUUAUUGGGCGUAAAGAGCACGUAGGCGGCUAUGUAAGUCGGUUGUGAAAGCCUUCCGCUCAACGGGAGAACAGCAUCCGAUACUACAUGGCUUGAGUGCGGGAGGGGAGAGUGGAACUUCUGGUGGAGCGGUGAAAUGCGUAGAUAUCAGAAGGAACGCCGGCGGCGAAAGCGGCUCUCUGGCCCAUAACUGACGCUGAGUGUGCGAAAGCUAGGGGAGCAAACGGGAUUAGAUACCCCGGUAGUCCUAGCCGUAAACGAUGGGCACUAAGUAGAGGGGUUUU